UUGCUACUUGGAUACCUGUGGUAAUUCUAGAGCUAAUACAUGCUAAAAACCCCGACUUCGGGAGGGGUGUAUUUAUUAGAUAAAAAACCAAUGCCCUCCGGGGCUCCUUGGUGAUUCAUAAUAACUCAACGAAUCGCAUGGCCUUGCGCCGGCGAUGGUUCAUUCAAAUUUCUGCCCUAUCAACUUUCGAUGGUAGGAUAGUGGCCUACCAUGGUUUCAACGGGUAACGGGAAAUAAGGGUUUGAUUCCGGAGAGGGAGCCUGAGAAACGGCUACCACAUCCAAGGAAGGCAGCAGGCGCGCAAAUUACCCAAUCCCGACACGGGGAGGUAGUAAGUUCAUCCUUGUUUCGUUUUGAGCUGAAAAUAUUACAGUGCUAACUAUUUUCUUUUUAGGCGACAAGGAAUACUGAUGCAGAGCUCUUUUGGGUUUUGCAAUUGGAAUGAGUACAAUUUAAACCCCUUAACGAGGAACAAUUGGAGGGCAAGUCUGGUGCCAGCAGCCGCGGUAAUUCCAGCUCCAAUAGCGUAUAUUAAAGUUGUUGCAGUUAAAAAGCUCGUAGUUGAAACUUGGGUCUGGCUGGCCGGUCCGCCUCACCGCGUGCACUGGUCCGGCCGGGCCUUUCCUUCUGGGGAGCCGCAUGCCCUUUAUUGGGUGUGCCGGGGAACCAGGACUUUUACUUUGAAAAAAUUAGAGUGUUCAAAGCAGGCCUAUGCUCGAAUACAUUAGCAUGGAAUAAUAGAAUAGGACGUGUGGUUCUAUUUUGUUGGUUUCUAGGACCGCCGUAAUGAUUAAUAGGGAUAGUUGGGGGCGUCCGGUAAGCUUUAAUCUUUUCCAUUUUUGCCGGCGGGAGAAUUUGCUAACUGUUGCGCAGUAUUUAAUUGUCAGAGGUGAAAUUCUUGGAUUUAUUAAAGACGAACUACUGCGAAAGCAUUCGCCAAGGAUGUUUUCAUUAAUCAGUGAACGAAAGUUAGGGGAUCGAAGACGAUCAGGCCAGGGUAUCCGGUCGUCCACAGUCAAUUCUAGUCGGGGCGUCCUUUCGGGGGCCCCUUGGCGACACCAUUCAACUGUGAUGGAGCCCCGGGCGGUGUCACCCCCGGCAAUCCACAGCCAAGCUCCCCGGGCGUUCGGGGGGUGCAGUUUACAGACUGAAUAACGGUGGGCCCCCUUCCGGCCGCGGAAGGGGGUUUCAGAUAUAGUCGGUUCGGGCGCGUGAGCCCCCGGAAGUAACGCAGAUACCGUCGUAGUCUUAACCAUAAACUAUGCCGACUAGGGAUCGGACGGUGUUAUUAUUUUGACCCGUUCGGCACCUUACGAGAAAUCAAAGUUUUUGGGUUCUGGGGGGAGUAUGGUCGCAAGGCUGAAACUUAAAGACAUUGACGGAAGGGCACCACCAGGAAACGACACAGUGGCUCUGUUCGCCUGGUUACAGGCCGCCGCUCCUCGGGAGGAGCGGCGGCGUUAGUUCUCUCCGGAGGGCGAGGUCCCUGAUCUGCGAGGACUGCCUCGGGCGCUGUAGCGACCCCGGGCGUACCCGCAGCCGCCGUGGCCCCCCGCGUUAUGGGGGAGUCUAGGUGGCUCACAGGUCAAGCAGAGGCCGGCAGGCGUCGAUUCCUGCUGAUGAUAUGAUCGGCCCAGGGGCGGUAAGCCCCUAGGAUGCAGUGCGUGGAGCCUGCGGCUUAAUUUGACUCAACACGGGGAAACUCACCGGGUUAACUAGAAGGUUAUUGUCUGGGCCCGGAGGCCCGAUAUGGCGGAACUGGUCUUCCGGUCCGCUAUUGUCGGAACAGUAGUACUGCGAAACUCGCGGUGCAACACACGCUGGUACAGGGGACGCCUUGCCCGUCAAGCACCUUUUGACAGGCAAUGUCAACCCUGUGGUGAGCCUAUUCCAAGGGCCAUCGCAACGCGCGCCAAGCUGUGGGUAACCCUCGUCGGUUAUUUCUUAUACGUGCUAAUCCCGUGGACGAUUCACCACGCUCGCCUAGCUUUUCGCUGGGGCCGAGAUCUGUGCUCAAUACACGGGCACUGAUGGAAAUGGUUCUUUGCCGGACAAAAUAAGGAUUGACAGAUUGAGAGCUCUUUCUUGAUCUUUUGGUUGGUGGUGCAUGGCCGUUUUUAGUUGGUGGAGUGAUUUGUCUGCUUAAUUGCGAUAACGAACGAGACCUUAACCUGCUAAAUAGCCCGGUCAGCUUUGGCUGGCCGCCGGCUUCUUAGAGGGACUAUCGGCUCAAGCCGAUGGAAGUUUGAGGCAAAAACAGGUCUGUGAUGCCCUUAGAUGUUCCGGGCCGCACGGUAUGUAGGACCCUUUUUCUCCAAGAUUCCAAGGGUAUAUAGCUAACUUCUUUUUAGCGCGCUACACUGACAGAGACAACGAGUUCAUCACCUUGGCCGAAAGGUUUGGGUAAUCUUGUUAAACUCUGUCGUGCUGGGGAUAGAGCACUGCAAUUAUUGCUCUUCAACGAGGAAUGCCUAGUAAGCGCAAGUCAUCAGCUUGCGUUGAUUACGUCCCUGCCCUUUGUACACACCGCCCGUCGCUACUACCGAUUGAAUGGCUCAGUGAGGCCUUCGGACUGGCCCCAGGAGGUCGGCGACGACCACCCAGGGCCGGAAAGUGUCAAA
This 2621-nucleotide ribosomal RNA is filed under the name Klauderuiella thallincola. RNAcentral's name for it is "partial 18S small subunit ribosomal RNA". It matches the Rfam family "Eukaryotic small subunit ribosomal RNA". Lineage: Eukaryota; Fungi; Ascomycota; Lecanoromycetes; Teloschistales; Teloschistaceae. The record is from RNAcentral.